UACGUAGGGUGCGAGCGUUAAUCGGAAUUACUGGGCGUAAAGCGUGCGCAGGCGGUUUUGUAAGCCAGAUGUGAAAUCCCCGGGCUCAACCUGGGAAUGGCAUUUGGGACUGCAAGGCUUGAGUGCGGCAGAGGAGACUGGAAUUCCUGGUGUAGCAGUGAAAUGCGUAGAUAUCAGGAGGAACACCAAUUGCGAAGGCAGCUCGCUGGGACGUUACUGACGCUGAGACGCGAAAGCGUGGGGAGCAAACAGG
Molecule: ribosomal RNA, 253 nt
Filed under: uncultured bacterium
Lineage: Bacteria
Description: partial 16S ribosomal RNA
Rfam family: Bacterial small subunit ribosomal RNA
Source: RNAcentral